RNAcentral lists this ribosomal RNA (253 nucleotides) under uncultured bacterium. Its description in RNAcentral is "partial 16S ribosomal RNA". It matches the Rfam family "Bacterial small subunit ribosomal RNA", at positions 524 to 776 of the family's 1533-position model. The record is from RNAcentral.
UACGUAGGUGGCAAGCGUUGUCCGGAAUUAUUGGGCGUAAAGCGCGCGCAGGCGGUCCUUUAAGUCUGAUGUGAAAGCCCACGGCUCAACCGUGGAGGGUCAUUGGAAACUGGGGGACUUGAGUGCAGAAGAGGUGAGUGGAAUUCCACGUGUAGCGGUGAAAUGCAUAGAGAUGUGGAGGAACACCAGUGGCGAAGGCGGCUCUCUGGUCUGUAACUGACGCUGAGGCGCGAAAGCGUGGGGAGCAAACAGG